CUGAUGUGAACCUAGAAGGUGUAGCCAUGUGAGAGGACCACGUCAUUAUUAUGAAAGGGGCUCUUAAAAUUGCCACCCAAGUAGAUGCUGUUGGGGAUGGGGUGAGGGAAGGAAAGUGAAAGGGGAGGGAAGGGAAGGGAGAGGAGAAGGCCACACACAAUCUUAAAUUCAAUAUUUCACUCCCAUUAAAGAUAAGCUGUUUAUAAGCUUCAGUGUAGGGCAUAUAAUUCUAUGUAAAAACUCUGUGGUUCCUCUUCCCAAACAUAAAUCAUAAAUCAUGAUCAUUCUACACUCUGCUCUCUGGGAGUCCUCGAGGCAAAGAGACAACAGGACACGAGGUAUGGUAAUAAAAAAGUCUGGGUAUUAUAAAAUCCACCCUGAGCUCCAAGAAGAAAAGGCUAACAAGAAGAGAGGUCUGAAAAGUACUAAUUUACCCAGGUACAAUGCAGUUUUGUACAUUUUUAUUCACAUCCUCAGGAAUCAAAUGUCCACCUUGAUACCUGAGAGAAUUUUUUAAAAUAAAUUCUAGCUAUAAGUGUUUUAAAGAUAAACUAUGAAUUCUUUUUGGAACUAAGUGCCUUGAUAAAAUAAUGAAUAUUAAAUACAUCUUAGAGUCACAGAAAGGACUUAGCGCCAGAGUCUCUCUGUGGUAGCUGAGGAGUGCCCCCUACAGUCUGACGUGCGCAACGCAAGCAGAUGACGAGGAAAGAACUGAGCAGCAGUUUCAGGAUUCUCAAUAAGGCAUCGAAGAAAGAAAGGUUUAAUCACGUUUUUUCACCCAAAAGAGACUCUAGAAGUGAAGAUGGCUCAUAUCACAAUGUAACCACUAGAUGGCAGCACAAACCCAUCUCAGAAUUAUUCCCAAAGCAGCCAGAGACCUCAGACCAGCUGUUACAAGGCGCCCCCACAGUUGAGCACAAUAAGCCAAGGAUCCACCAUUGGGAGUCACUUUCCUAUGUCACCUGGACCUUUCAAAACUUCCAUGGAUAUAUCCUUGGUUUGCAAUUCUUCUCUCAACAAUAUUCUCUGUAUGUAUUGCUUUCUCUUGGCCUUAUUUAUAUAUUCAUUUAAAAACAUUAACAUCUAUUGAGAGCUGACAUGUUCCACAAACUAUUGUAGUGGGAAACAAUAUUGAGAAAGAUGGCAAUGAUCCUGCCCUCAUGGAAGCUGAGUUCUAGUGAGAGAGACAGAUAACAUUCAGGUGAACAUCCAUUCAUUCAACUCACGUCGUCUACUGAGCACUUUGAUGAACUACUGAACAAUGUGCCAGACACUGUUCUAGCCUCUGAGGAUACAGCCCUGAAUGAAACACGCGCACGCGCACACACACACACACACACACACACACACACACACUGCCCUAGGGAGCUUAUAUACUGGAAAGGGACAUCGGUGAUAAAGUGUAAAAGCCACGUGUAUAAGUGUGUGAUUUACACUGAAUUCCCUAGAAGACAGAACCUGAGGC
This 1465-nucleotide long non-coding RNA is filed under the name Microcebus murinus (gray mouse lemur). Its description in RNAcentral is "lncRNA (ENSMICG00000048795.1)". The record is from RNAcentral. Lineage: Eukaryota; Metazoa; Chordata; Mammalia; Primates; Cheirogaleidae.